GACGAACGCUGGCGGCGUGCUUAACACAUGCAAGUCGAACGGAAAGGCCCUGCUUUUGUGGGGUGCUCGAGUGGCGAACGGGUGAGUAACACGUGAGUAACCUGCCCUUGACUUUGGGAUAACUUCAGGAAACUGGGGCUAAUACCGGAUAGGAGCUCCUGCCGCAUGGUGGGGGUUGGAAAGUUUCGGCGGUUGGGGAUGGACUCGCGGCUUAUCAGCUUGUUGGUGGGGUAGUGGCUUACCAAGGCUUUGACGGGUAGCCGGCCUGAGAGGGUGACCGGCCACAUUGGGACUGAGAUACGGCCCAGACUCCUACGGGAGGCAGCAGUGGGGAAUAUUGCACAAUGGGCGGAAGCCUGAUGCAGCAACGCCGCGUGCGGGAUGACGGCCUUCGGGUUGUAAACCGCUUUCGCCUGUGACGAAGCGUGAGUGACGGUAAUGGGUAAAGAAGCACCGGCUAACUACGUGCCAGCAGCCGCGGUGAUACGUAGGGUGCGAGCGUUGUCCGGAUUUAUUGGGCGUAAAGGGCUCGUAGGUGGUUGAUCGCGUCGGAAGUGUAAUCUUGGGGCUUAACCCUGAGCGUGCUUUCGAUACGGGUUGACUUGAGGAAGGUAGGGGAGAAUGGAAUUCCUGGUGGAGCGGUGGAAUGCGCAGAUAUCAGGAGGAACACCAGUGGCGAAGGCGGUUCUCUGGGCCUUUCCUGACGCUGAGGAGCGAAAGCGUGGGGAGCGAACAGGCUUAGAUACCCUGGUAGUCCACGCUGUAAACGGUGGGUACUAGGUGUGGGGUCCAUUCCACGGGUUCCGUGCCGUAGCUAACGCUUUAAGUACCCCGCCUGGGGAGUACGGCCGCAAGGCUAAAACUCAAAGGAAUUGACGGGGCCCCGCACAAGCGGCGGAGCAUGCGGAUUAAUUCGAUGCAACGCGUAGAACCUUACCUGGGUUUGACAUGGAUCGGGAGUGCUCAGAGAUGGGUGUGCCUCUUUUGGGGUCGGUUCACAGGUGGUGCAUGCCUGUCGUCAGCUCGUGUCGUGAGAUGUUGGGUUAAGUCCCGCAACGAGCGCAACCCUUGUUCACUGUUGCCAGCACGUUAUGGUGGGGACUCAGUGGAGACCGCCGGGGUCAACUCGGAGGAAGGUGGGGAUGACGUCAAGUCCUCAUGCCCCUUAUGUCCAGGGCUUCACGCAUGCUACAAUGGCUGGUACAGAGAGUGGCGAGCCUGUGAGGGUGAGCGAAUCUCGGAAAGCCGGUCUCAGUUCGGAUUGGGGUCUGCAACUCGACCUCAUGAAGUCGGAGUCGCUAGUAAUCGCAGAUCAGCAACGCUGCGGUGAAUACGUUCCCGGGGCU
Molecule: ribosomal RNA, 1346 nt
Filed under: uncultured bacterium
Lineage: Bacteria
Description: bacterial SSU rRNA
Rfam family: Bacterial small subunit ribosomal RNA
Source: RNAcentral